Molecule: ribosomal RNA, 948 nt
Filed under: uncultured Sebacinales
Lineage: Eukaryota; Fungi; Basidiomycota; Agaricomycetes; Sebacinales
Description: bacterial SSU rRNA
Rfam family: Eukaryotic small subunit ribosomal RNA (bases 1-365)
Source: RNAcentral
GCCCUUAGAUGUUCUGGGCCGCACGCGCGCUACACUGACAGAGCCAGCGAGUCUAUCACCUUGGCCGGAAGGUCCGGGUAAUCUUGUGAAACUCUGUCGUGCUGGGGAUAGAGCAUUGCAAUUAUUGCUCUUCAACGAGGAAUGCCUAGUAAGCGCAAGUCAUCAGCUUGCGUUGAUUACGUCCCUGCCCUUUGUACACACCGCCCGUCGCUACUACCGAUUGAAUGGCUUAGUGAGGUCUUCGGAUUGGCUUUGGGGACCCGGCAACGGGACUCCGUUGCUGAGAAGUUGAUCAAACUUGGUCAUUUAGAGGAAGUAAAAGUCGUAACAAGGUUUCCGUAGGUGAACCUGCGGAAGGAUCAUUAAUGAAACUUCAAGUCGGUGGAUUGUGCUGGUGCGCAAGCACACGUGCACGUCUGUCGCAAAUCCACACACCUGUGAACUUUAGACCUCGAGCAGAGGAAGACCUCUUUGGUUGACCGAGCUCGAAGUAUUUUACAUACGCUGAAAGUGAAAGGAUGCUUGCAGUGCUCAGCACAACAAAAAAAUACAACUUUCAACAACGGAUCUCUUGGCUCUCGCAUCGAUGAAGAACGCAGCGAAAUGCGAUAAGUAAUGUGAAUUGCAGAAUUCAGUGAAUCAUCGAAUCUUUGAACGCACCUUGCACCCUUUGGUAUUCCGAAGGGUACACCCGUUUGAGUGUCAUUGUAAUCUCACACCCUGCUGGUUUUCAAACUUGAGGGGACUGUGGACUUGGACGUUACUGUCGUGUCACUGCGACUCGUCUCAAAUGCAUGAGUAUGACCGGCUUGCCAAGUGUCAUCUGGUGUGAUAAGCAUCUUCACCGGAGUCUUGGGACCCUCCCUCUUGAGGAACCCACACUGAGCUUGCACUGUAGUCAGCUUCGAACUGUCUUCGGACAGCAGCACUCUUGUUGCUCUUUGACAA